RNAcentral lists this small nuclear RNA (172 nucleotides) under Fukomys damarensis (Damara mole-rat). RNAcentral describes it as "U4 spliceosomal RNA (ENSFDAG00000003468.1)". The record is from RNAcentral. Lineage: Eukaryota; Metazoa; Chordata; Mammalia; Rodentia; Bathyergidae.
GGCUUUGCGCCAUGGCACAAUCGCAGCCAAUGAGGUUUACCUGAAGCGUGAUUACUGCUAACUGAAAAAUACGCCACGGCCUUCCCUCCCACACUAUUCUUCACAAGUUCCGUGUACAAGCCUAUUUUAUAGGCUAGAAGUACAGGUUCUCACGUUAAACCUCAAGUAUUUG